Molecule: non-coding RNA, 383 nt
Organism: Chionomys nivalis (European snow vole)
Lineage: Eukaryota; Metazoa; Chordata; Mammalia; Rodentia; Cricetidae
Source: the annotation of a RefSeq genome assembly
CCCACACCAUGGGAUGGAGCUGUAUCAUUCUCUUCCUUGUGUCAGUAAUGACAGGUGUCCACUCCCAAGUACAGCUGCAUCAGUCAGGGCCUGAACUGGGAAAACCGGGGACCUCAAUAAAGUUGUCUUGCAAGGCUUCAGGCUACACCUUCACUAGCUACUCUAUUAGCUGGUUGAAGCAAAGUCCUGGACAGGGCCUGGAGUAUAAUGGAUAUAUUUAUCCUAGUAAUGGUGGUACUGGCUAUGCACAAAAGUUCCAGGGCAAGGCCAAGCUGACUGCAGACACCACCUCCAACACAGCCUACAUGGAGCUCAGCAGCCUGACAUCUGAAGACUCUGCAGUCUAUUACUGUGCAAGACACAGUGUUGCAACCACAUCCUGA